Orcinus orca (killer whale) is the source of this 6968-nucleotide long non-coding RNA. RefSeq lists it as uncharacterized. NCBI's taxonomy places the organism in Eukaryota, Metazoa, Chordata, Mammalia, Artiodactyla, Delphinidae. The record is from RefSeq and is a predicted model, not a curated record. The transcript is spliced from 4 exons.
CCCCUGCCCGGCGCCGGGCUGCUGGGCUCGUUCCGCGUGUAACGGGCUCAGGCCCAGUAAGGGCUGGGCGGAGGCAUUUCUUCUGCCUACUUUCCCGAGGGCGACACUCGGUUGGGCCACCUGAAUCCCCAGAGUCCCCGCAGGUUGCUAGGCAACCCCGGAAGCCCCCAGGGACGUAGUAGGGCGAGGACCUAAGGUGGCGAAAGCGGAUGCAGCGGGUGUCAAAACUGGCUUUCAGCUCCACCUCCACCUCCACAUUUACAGGUUCCUGGGUUCCUCUGACUGCAAGUUGGGAAGAAAGAUAAUAGCGUAAAGGAAAAAAAUGUUGCGUGCCAUUCCAGUUCUACAAGGAUCAAGCCAUUAGCCACUGCAAUUGACCACCAACAGUGUGCCCCGAGGGGAAUUCAGGAUGGAGGAAAACAGGAAACUUUCUGUACUUCGGAUAUACUGAUCCUUAGAUAGAAAGAAACAUUUGAGGUAUACACAAGAAACUAAUGAAAGAGAACAGAGAAUAGUAUACACAAAAGUACCCAUACAGAAAAGCAUACAGCUCAAUAAAUUUUUGGAAAUUGAACACCCCCAUAUAACCAGCACCCAGAUCAAGAAACAGAACAUUACCAACACCCUAGGAGACCCGCCUGUGCUCCCUUCCAAGCACCACCCUCUUCCUAAAAGCCCUGAAUGGGGACGUACCGUCUCAGCAGUCAUCCUCAAUCAUGGACAGAAGUGGGAGAGAAUUUAGAAAGGCUGCCCUAACACCGUGGGCCACUGAACCAACACCAGCAGCUGCUUACUUCCAGAUAUCCUGUUAUGUGCAGAGAACUCCUAUUUGUUUAAGCCACUCGAAGACAGUUACUUGCAAUCCAAAGCAUUCUCACGUGAUACAGAGGUCCAGCAAGAUGUGGACUCAGAUGUGAACUGGAUUUAUCAGUGUGAGGUCACUGGGGGUUCAGAGAGCAGUUUACGUGGAGUGCUGGGCAGCAGCCAACGUACAGUGGGUGGUGAGUGGCUGGUGGGAAAGACUGGGUACGGCAAGUAUGGGCAAGCCUCUCAUGCUUGGCUGUGAGGGAAAGGAAAGUAGUUAGAGGGGGACACAGGAUCCAGAAGUGUUGUCUUUAAGGUGGAAGGCCUUGUGCAUGUUUAAAUCCUUUUGGGAAGGAGCCAGCAAAAAUGACACUGUAAAGAGCAGAAUGGACAAAACUGAAAGAACAAGGUUAUUGAGGAGGCAGGAGAGAAUGGAUACAAAGCCCAGAUGGGUGUUAGCCUGAAAUGUGGGAGGCAUGGCUAUUUUCUGAGAGAGCCGUGAUUGGGGGAAGGGCAGGUAGAUUGAGUGGGUCAGAGUUUGAAAUCAUCAUUGUGUAUCUGGGAAAGCAAGCUGCCUAAAGGAGAUAGAAGACUUCCUGGCCUGAGUUGAAGGCUCAGUUGAAAUUGGAGAUUGUUCAUUUAGAGUGGUACGGUCUGCAUAAUUAUUUGAUUAUAUACAAUGGUUAAUGUACAUUUCAUGAAUUUUAAUUUAAAAAGCUUUUGCAUCUAAGUUACACAUGGAUGUGGCUAGAAAAAAGUAGAACAGAAAGUUGUCUAAUAAAAUACCAAGUUCCUCUCUCUCAAUCACCAACUCUUCCCCAUCUCGCUAGCUGCUGUUUAUGACCACACUAGGGUUGGGUGGGGGAUGGACUGGAGAGUAAGGGGGAUAAGGAAGUUGUUACGGCUCUGCUCUCCCCACUCCAUCUGACUGAGUGCCUUUGUGUGGCUCCCCUGCUGAACCCCUCACUGCAGUCCCCCUGACAUGGGUAGCACCUCUCUUUUGGAAGGCUCGUGGUCCUCUCUCAAUGUCUGGUUUUCCCCAGCUGUCCAAGAGAUACUCUUCUGGGCAGAAUCCCUUUAAAAAUGAUCCCAAGCUGGUUCAACGGCUCAUGACUUGGGUUAGGUUUGAGAGGAGACCAGGGUAGAGUCCCCACUUUCCCUUGGCUGUUUUUGUUUGUUUUUUUUUUUGCGGUACGCGGGCCUCUCACUGUUGUGGCCUCUCCCGUUGCGGAGCACAGGCUCCGGAUGCGCAGGCUCAGCGGCCAUGGCUCACGGGCCCAGCCGCUCCGCGGCAUGUGGGAUCUUCCCAGAGCGGGGCACAAACCUGUGUCCCCUGCAUCGGCAGGCGGACUCUCAACCACUGCGCCACCAGGGGAGCCCUCCCUUGGGUGUUUUCCAGGAGGUGGCAAGCCCCGUGGGGCCCAGUAUGGAACCUGAACAAUGGAGAAGCAAUUCUGAGAGUGAUGUCUAGGAAGAUGGGCCUGAGAGCAUCCUCAAUCCCUCAAGCCCUCAAACCCCAGCAUGGUUCAGCCAAAGGAGGCAAGACUUCCAAAGCCCUCCAAGAGGGCUAGGUGUGAGAGCAAAGCACACCAGAUGAGACCUGGGAUGAGGAAAAUGCAAAGUAGAUCUACCUGACAGAGACAGGCCAUGGCAGAACUUUGGACAUUAGUGGCACAUGCAGAAAGCACAGGGGUGUCCUGUCCUGGGCGUAUUUGCCUCCAGAGCCAUUCCUCACUCUUCCCCUCUUGUGUUCUGCAUCACAAGCAGGCUGACCCCAGUGGGUUGCAUUUCCUAGCCUUCCCUGUCAGCUGGCUUCCUGCUGGCUCAGCUAAUAGAGAGUACCAGCAAGGGAUCAGAGGAUGGAAGGAAGAAGCUGCCUCUACUGGGAAGGGAGACCCAGUGAGUUUUAGGAAUGCCAGGUACUCAGAUUGAAAUCCACCUAGAUUCCCCCAUCCUAAUUCCCAAGGUCCCAUAUGUUCUUCAUCAAUGCCAUAACUUUCUCGUAAGAGACAGGAUUCGUUUUGUAAACAAAAAGAACAAAGGGUGUCACUCAUCCCCUUAUACAAAGGGUUAAGUCAUAACCCACUAUAGUUGUCCACCAGUGGUGCACCCUGAGCAGAAUUCCCGACGGGAAAAACGUGAUGAGACAUUCUGUGCUUUGGAUACACGGGACCCUAGAUAAUUAAGACGCACAUUUGAGGAAGAAUUUCAGUGAUCCCCGAUUCUUGUAUCUUCCCAGACAUAGAUAUCUAUUCUUUGUCAUUAGCAGUAAUCUUUUACAAAGAUGUAUGCUUGACUAUAGGUAUUUCCCGGCUGAAAAAUUAAUAUAUAUAUAUAUAUACCGGCUCUGCAAGGCUCCGGACGUGCAGGCUCAGUGGCCAUGGCUCACGGGCCCAGCCGCUCCGCGGCAUGUGGGAUCUUCCCGGACCUGGGCAUGAACCUGUGUCCCCUGCAUCGGUAGGCGGACUCUCAACCACUGCGCCACCAGGGAAGCCCAUUGUGCAUUUUUUAAGUUGACAGUUUGUAAAUUCAUCUUACGUUAUAAUAUACCACAGUAUCAGACGCUGCGUCUGGAUUUUAGCUGCUAGUGUUCAGGAGCUCUAAGACAAAAGAGAUCUUUUAGGACAUUUUUAGAGGCUCUGACUCGCUUGAGGCAAGAUUUUUAAAUUCUGGGUUGGUGACUUUUUAAAUUAAUUUUUAAAAAAUUCUCCAUUCAUUCAUAAUGACCCAUCACUGUUCCUACAGAGCAUGAGUACUAGAGGGUAUGUGCAGAUAUUCCAAGGGUGCUCAGGCACGGGUAGUUUUAGAGAUUACUUUCCAGCCUGUCCAUUUUUCUAUGCACUCCAUUAACACUGACCUGCCUGAUAAGGACCUGCCUUAGAACAUCACACCAUUUGUCCCUUUCACAGUCAUGUUCCCUCCCCCUUUUAAACAAUGAAAUGCCACCCUGAAUCUUACUAAGAUGCAUUGUCCCAGGGUAUAAGAACCUCAGGAUAACCACAAAGGGGGCAAUUCAAAAUACUGAUGUCAGUAAAAUCUGCUUAAUCUGGGCAGUGGGGUAGGGUUUUGUAUUUCUCCGUCUCUUAUUCAUACUUCUGAUAAGGGCAAAACAUGGUGCUAAAAGUUUGGAAUUCUGGCUUCUCUUGGGAUGUUCUUUUCCAGCUAUACUAUAAACUGGGGUGCUGGGAAUGAUACCCAUCUGUAUUUAAUGAUCCCACUUCUUCCAUCCCUGACUAUUAUCAAAGAACACUUUAACUCCUGAUGAAAAUUCCCACAACUGUUGGUUUCUUAAACUUCUAAGUAUAUAUACCUCCCUUCUAACAAGUCAAAUGCAUUAGCAUUUUUUAAUACCCCUUUUGUCUCCCUCUCCUCCCCCAUCAUGUUGUUCUUGUUUGGAAUUUUUUUUUUAAUAAAUUAAUUUUAUUUAUUUUUCUAUUUUUGGCUGCGUUGGGUCCUCGUUGCGGUGCACGGGCUUCUCAUUGCAGUGGCUUUUCUUAUUGCGGAGCACGGCGCGCAGGCUUCAGUAGUUGUGGCAGACAGGCCUAGCUGCUCCGCGGCAUGUGGGAUCUGCCCGGGCCAGGGCUCAAACCCGUGUCCCCUGCAUCAGUAGGCAGAUUAUUAACCACUGCGCCACCAGGGAAGCCCCUGGAAUUUUUGACAUUAGUUAUUUUGGAUAGACAUUCUCUUCUUUAGUCUUAGCUUUUUAAUUUUUUUAAACAGCAAUAAAUUUAUCAAAAUAUUUGAUCACCCUGACAUCUCAUAUCUCUUGAAGGUUCUCCUGGAUUUGUUUCUCUUACAUAAACACUUCUUUUAAAGGUAUUUUCAUUGUGGAUUUUUGUGUGUUAAACUUCUGAGGCCUUGUGUGCCUGAGAAUGUUCUUAUUACUUUCUCUCAUUGAAAUGAAAAUUUGGCUGUGUUGUACAUAAAACUUCAGGUUCGAGCUCUUUCCCUUCAGUAUCUAAAUAAAGAAAUAAAUACAUUAUCAUAAGAAAAGCGAUCUUACGAUCAUCUAAAAAGAUGGGGGAAAAAGGUGUUUGACAAAAGUCAAUACCUGUUCAUAAUAAAAAUGUUCUGCAAGCUAGAAACAGAAAAGUAGUCUCUCAGCCUGAUAAAGGGCAUCUAUUAAAAACCCACAGUUGGGACUUCCCUGGUGGUCCAGUGGUUAAGACUCCGUGUUCCCAAUGCAGGGGGCCCAGUUUCAAUCCCUGGUCAGGGAACUAGAUUCCGCAUGCCACAACUGAAAAGAUCCCGCAUGCCACGAGGAAGAUCUCACAUGCGGCAACAAAGAUCCUGAGUGCUACAACUAAGACCCAGCGCAGCCAAAUAAAUAAAUAAAUAUUAAAAAACAAAAACCCACAGUUAAUGUUCUUGUAGCAGAAGACCGAAUACUUUGCCCCUAACAUCAGGAACAAAGCAAGGAUGUCCGCCUUCAACACUUCUAUCGACCAUUUUAGUAGAGCUUUAAGCCACUGCAAAAAAAUAUAUAAAAGCCACACAGAUUGGAAAGGAAAAAGGAAAAUGGUCUUUACUCAUAGAUAACAUGAUCAUGCAAAUAGAAAAUCCUUCUAAGGAAUCUACAAUAGAACUAUUAAGUAAAUUUAGCAAGGCCACAGGCUGCAGGUCAAUAUACAAUAAUCCAUGUUAUUUCUGUAUGUUAACAAUGAACAUGUAGAAAACGAAAUUUUUAAAAUACCAUUUCAACAGCAUCCCAAAACGUAAAAUACUUAGGGAUAAGUCUAAUUAUUUUAAGCAUACUUUUUAAUAGUCUUGAAACUGAGGGCAGUCAUCAAUUAGAAUCCUUGAACUAUAACUUGCUUAAUAAAUAAUAACUUGUAACCUGCCUUCACUAAUCAAGCUUGCUUUAAUUGUUCUUGCAAAUUGCAUACCCUCCAAGCUUCACUGUAGCCUGGGCAAUAUAUCAUAAGAUUCCUUUAACCACCCCCUCCAGAUAAAACCUCUGACAUAUGGGUCGCUAUAGUAAUGGUUUCUAUUUUAUUUUUUUUAUAAUUAAAAUUUUUUAAUUUUUUAAAAUUUUGUUUCAUUUUUGGUUGCCUUGGGUCUUCGUUGCUGCGUGUGGGCUUUCUCUAGUUGCGGCGAGCGGGGGCUACUCUUGGUUGCAGGGUGCAGGCUUCUGAUUGCACUGGCUUCUCUUGUUGCGGAGCAUGGGCUCUAGGUGCGUGGGCUUCAGUAGUUGCAGCACGCGGGCUCAGUAGUUGUGGCUUAUAGGCUCUAGAGCACAGGCGCAGUAGUUGUGGCGCACGGGCUUAGUUGCUCCGUGGCAUGUGGCAUCUUCCCAGACCAGGAAUCGAACCUGUGUCUCCUGCAUUGGCAAGCAGAUUCUUAACCACUGCGCCACCAGGGAAGUCCCAGUAAUGGUUUCUUAAGUUGUUUUUCAGGAACAUGGAGUUAGUCUUGCCCAGUUCAAACUGGUCAAGCACACUGACCAUUCAACCGGGCCUGUGCAAGUGUCGGAUGGAUAACCUAUUGUUGUCAGAGGGACAAAAACUCCAUCAUCAGAUCAUGCUAAUGCCACCAUUUUCUGAACACGUGUCUCAUGAAGAAGCAUGUAACUCACAUACACCUGAGCAGAACACUGAUUACUUCACCUUUUUCUUGUCUUCAACCCCCUUUCCGCAUGCCUCAGACCACCCUGCUUCUUUAUCCUGUAAAUAUCCCAAGCCCCUCACCUUUAGGGAGACGGAUCUGAGACUUGUUCUCCCAUCUCCUCGCUUAGCUGUCUCGUGGAUAAACCCUUUCUCUGCUGCAGACUUCCAUGUCUCAGUGUUUGGCUAGUUGCAGAGUGGGGCAAACAAACCUGGUUUUGUAAUAGUCUGGUAAUUCUGUUCAAUAUUAUCCGAAGUUAUUGUGGUCUCGUCCUGCUGCUGUGUUUAUUCUUUUUGACUCUGUGAAAGCGUACCUCAGAGACAUUUAGUUAUCUGCAUGCAAAUGAUAUACUUGCUUAUUUUAAGGAGAAUAGUCAUUAGGCUGUUGUCAACAAAAAGGGCUUUAUAGGGCUUCCCUGGUGGCACAGUGGUUGAGAGUCCACCUACCGAUUCAGGGGAUGCGGGUUCGUGCCCCGGUCCGGGAAGAUCCCACGUACCGCGGAGCGGCUGGGCCCGUGAGCCAUGGCCGCUGACCCUGCAGGUCCGGAGCCUGUGCUCCGC